This 70-nucleotide transfer RNA is filed under the name Varanus albigularis (white-throated monitor). RNAcentral describes it as "tRNA-Trp". Lineage: Eukaryota; Metazoa; Chordata; Lepidosauria; Squamata; Varanidae. The record is from RNAcentral.
AAGAAUUUAAGUUAACAUAAACUCAAGGCCUUCAAAGCCUUAAAAAAGAGUAUCAACCUCUUAAUUUCUG